UGGGAUAUAGCUCAGUUAGUAGAGUGCUUGCCUUUCAUGCAUAAGGCCCUGGGUUCAAUCCCCAGCACCACAA
Non-coding RNA from Ictidomys tridecemlineatus (thirteen-lined ground squirrel), 73 nucleotides. NCBI's taxonomy places the organism in Eukaryota, Metazoa, Chordata, Mammalia, Rodentia, Sciuridae. The record is from Rfam.